GUCGAACGAAGAUACUAGCUUGCUAGUAUACUUAGUGGCAUACGGGUGAGUAACGCGUGGGAAUCUGCCUGGAAGUACGGAAUAACAGUUAGAAAUGACUGCUAAUACCGUAUAGACUCUACGGAGUAAAGAUUUAUCGCUUCCAGAUGAGCCCGCGUUAGAUUAGGUUGUUGGUGGGGUAAUGGCCUACCAAGCCUACGAUCUAUAGCUGGUCUGAGAGGAUGAUCAGCCACACUGGGACUGAGACACGGCCCAGACUCCUACGGGAGGCAGCAGUGGGGAAUAUUGGACAAUGGGCGCAAGCCUGAUCCAGCAAUGCCGCGUGAAUGAAGAAGGCCUUAGGGUUGUAAAGUUCUUUUAGUUGGGAAGAUAAUGACGGUACCAACAGAAAAAGCUCCGGCUAACUUCGUGCCAGCAGCCGCGGUAAUACGAAGGGAGCUAGCGUUAUUCGGAAUUACUGGGCGUAAAGAGCAUGUAGGCGGUCUAACAAGUUGGAAGUGAAAGCCCAGGGCUUAACCCUGGAACUGCUUUCAAAACUGUUAAACUAGAGAUCAAUAGGGGAUAGCGGAAUUCCUAGUGUAGAGGUGAAAUUCUUAGAUAUUAGGAGGAACACCGGAGGCGAAGGCGGCUAUCUGGGUUGAAUCUGACGCUGAGAUGCGAAAGUGUGGGUAGCAAACAGGAUUAGAUACCCUGGUAGUCCACACUGUAAACGAUGAGUGCUAGAUAUUAGAGAUUAAGUCUUUAGUGUCGUAGCU
This 755-nucleotide ribosomal RNA is filed under the name uncultured bacterium. RNAcentral's name for it is "bacterial SSU rRNA". It matches the Rfam family "Bacterial small subunit ribosomal RNA", at positions 61 to 853 of the family's 1533-position model. The record is from RNAcentral.